Caenorhabditis elegans is the source of this 123-nucleotide non-coding RNA. The record is from Ensembl. Lineage: Eukaryota; Metazoa; Nematoda; Chromadorea; Rhabditida; Rhabditidae.
AGAUAGAUAGAGAGAAAGAAAGCCGUCCUCAUCAUCUUCCUCUUUGUUUCCGGAGCCCUCUUACAACAAGUGGAGAAAGGAAACGGGUGCCUCUUCAAGAUUUUCAAGUUAAGGGUUUGUUUG